Molecule: ribosomal RNA, 533 nt
Filed under: Stenotrophomonas sp. enrichment culture clone EAMFC8
Lineage: Bacteria; Pseudomonadati; Pseudomonadota; Gammaproteobacteria; Lysobacterales; Lysobacteraceae
Description: bacterial SSU rRNA
Rfam family: Bacterial small subunit ribosomal RNA
Source: RNAcentral
UCCUACGGGAGGCAGCAGUGAGGAAUAUUGGUCAAUGGGCGCAAGCCUGAACCAGCCAUGCCGCGUGCAGGAUGACGGUCCUAUGGAUUGUAAACUGCUUUUAUACAGGAAGAAACACUCCCUCGUGAGGGAGCUUGACGGUACUGUAGGAAUAAGGAUCGGCUAACUCCGUGCCAGCAGCCGCGGUAAUACGGAGGAUCCAAGCGUUAUCCGGAAUCAUUGGGUUUAAAGGGUCCGUAGGCGGUUUAAUAAGUCAGUGGUGAAAGCCUAUCGCUUAACGAUAGAACGGCCAUUGAUACUGUUAGACUUGAAUUAGUGGGAAGUAACUAGAAUAUGUAGUGUAGCGGUGAAAUGCUUAGAUAUUACAUGGAAUACCAAUUGCGAAGGCAGGUUACUAUCACUAUAUUGACGCUGAUGGACGAAAGCGUGGGGAGCGAACAGGAUUAGAUACCCUGGUAGUCCACGCCGUAAACGAUGGAUACUAGCUGUUCGGAGCAAUCUGAGUGGCUAAGCGAAAGUGAUAAGUNUNCCNC